Molecule: ribosomal RNA, 581 nt
Filed under: uncultured bacterium
Lineage: Bacteria
Description: partial 16S ribosomal RNA
Rfam family: Bacterial small subunit ribosomal RNA
Source: RNAcentral
UGGGGAAUUUUGGACAAUGGGCGAAAGCCUGAUCCAGCAAUGCCGCGUGUGUGAAGAAGGCCUUCGGGUUGUAAAGCACUUUUGUCCGGAAAGAAAUCCUUGGCUCUAAUACAGUCGGGGGAUGACGGUACCGGAAGAAUAAGCACCGGCUAACUACGUGCCAGCAGCCGCGGUAAUACGUAGGGUGCAAGCGUUAAUCGGAAUUACUGGGCGUAAAGCGUGCGCAGGCGGUUUGCUAAGACCGAUGUGAAAUCCCCGGGCUCAACCUGGGAACUGCAUUGGUGACUGGCAGGCUAGAGUAUGGCAGAGGGGGGUAGAAUUCCACGUGUAGCAGUGAAAUGCGUAGAGAUGUGGAGGAAUACCGAUGGCGAAGGCAGCCCCCUGGGCCAAUACUGACGCUCAUGCACGAAAAGCGUGGGGAGCAAACAGGAUUAGAUACCCUGGUAGUCCCACGCCCUAAACGAUGUCAACUAGUUGUUGGGGAUUCAUUUCCUUAGUAACGUAGCUAACGCGUGAAGUUGACCGCCUGGGGAGUACGGUCGCAAGAUUAAAACUUAAAUGAAUUGACGGGGUCAUAGCUG